UAUCAUAUUUAAUUUAAUAGGUAACAAUAGUACAUAUAUUAUAUAUUUACAACACAUAGUUGUCUAUGUAUUACAGUUUUGCUAUAAACUACAUCGUGGUAAGACACUAUCUUAUAUUAAACUCAUCAUAUCUUUUCUGGUACACCCAGCUAUAUUUUAUGCGAAUAUAGUGAUGUUCAAUUAAAAUAAAAAAAAACAAAUUCAAAUAAUGUACCUAUAAUCAUCUGAACUCGUCAGCGUGUACGUAUAUGUAUAUGGAUAUGGCGUAACUAUAUGCGUAUAAUACUGCAGCAAUACAAGCCUGUGCUUAAGGAGGGAGGUUGGGGGUUCAAACUCCCCCAUUGUCGAAAAAAUAUAAAUCGUGUUUUUCAUUUUUGAUCGAUUAUAUUAAUUAUUUUAUUAUAUUAUUUGUAAUAAAUAAUAUUGCAUAAAAUAAUAAUAGCACACCACUAUUAUUGUGUUAUUUUCGUGUUUGCUGUUUAUCGGUUUUCGUCA
Molecule: non-coding RNA, 495 nt
Organism: Cinara cedri
Lineage: Eukaryota; Metazoa; Arthropoda; Insecta; Hemiptera; Aphididae
Source: the annotation of a GenBank genome assembly